UGAUGAGAUGGUGGCUCCGGUUCGCACGUCUUCUCCUGGCUUUGCUCACAUUAACAACACGUGAUGUAGAGUAGCGAUGGAUCCGGUGAACUGAGAAUGAAGGCUCCGAUGCUAUGACACAGCUCCGGUGCUGAGGCGAGACACCUAGGAUGACGGCGCAAGGAACUCCUUUUUCUGGCGUGAAGGAAAGGACAAUAGGAGUGUGUACUUGAAGACGUGAUGAAGAGGAAGAAGACGUGAUGGAGAUUAAUGGAGGAGAGUGGCGGUUCUCGAUGCACUCUCCUUUCCUUUUUCUUUUGAUUGCUAGGUUAACAAAAUAUGAUAUAUAUAAUGCUUUGGUUUACCAAUGGUCUGAUUCAAUUAAAAUCGAUACAAAACCAACAGUUAGAGAACCGGGUCGUUACAAUUCUCCCUUAAUUAUAAGGAAUUCGUCCUCGAAUUCAAAGCCGGAGCUGGUUGUCCAAAACCAUAUUGAGAAAAUUGUAGAUAGGUAAUCAUCAUAUGAGUCUCAGUCUCCUGGAUCUCCUCCUAGAUCUUGUUUCUUUCUCUCAUCAAAUUUUGACGAACAUGGUCAUCAUUUUCUGGACCAAUUUUUCUUGUUGAUCCAUAAUCUCCAUUAUAGCUGAAAACACGCAACACAGUUUUUUUUUUCUUUUUUUUUUUUUACCGAAAUCGCUUGGUGGCUGCUGCAACAUGAACUCUUACUAUCUCACGACCUUUCUAAAUACUAACCCGUCAUGGAAUUCUGACAACUUUGCUGAUCACUGAAAUCUCUAAACCAUUGCUCCACAAAGGGGGUACGAUCACAUAUAUUUAGGUUUAAGCUUCCUUAGCUCUCGAGUCUUAGAUCCUCUCUGAAAUGUCUUCAUUUUCAGGUACACUAAAUUAUCCAACUGAACUUCCAACUCCAGUAUUAACUGCAUUUUUUUUUUUGCCAUCAAUUUCCUUUAGAUGGUUGUUGAGCAUUUCUAUUUGCUUCAAUGACCUUUAAACCAUUGGUUGCUAUACACCAUAGUGCUUCCCCACUUUGGUUUAGCAUGUGAGCGAAUGAUCUUCCAUAAAGAACCUCCUAAAGUGAUAUCUGAAUGCCCCAGUGAUAAUUGUCACUGUACAUGAACUAUUCGAGCGGUAGAAGCUUUUCUCAAAAAAAAAUUUUCUCCUGCGAGCAAAGGCAAGUCCUGAGGAUGCCCUCUCGAGUUUAACUUAGCGAGAUGAUCCAUGUUCGCUCAUACAUUAAUCUUCAUGAAAAUUGACUUACAUAGUCCAAUGAGGAAACCCCACAAUCAACAUAUCCCAUUUCCAAUCUAUAAGAAUUAAAUUAUGUAAUAAUCCCAUAAAUAUUUGAUGUUCUAUUUUAACCAUCUGACAAGUCUGACAUAGACAAAAUGUAGCUACAUCUUUGUUCUUUUCCACUCUAGGCCAAUGAUAUUAAGACUUCAUAUCUAUGUAUCUCUUAGGUGUCGGCCACUCCAAACUUGUAAUUAUCUUUUUUUGAAUAUACAUCAACUCCUGGUUCUGA
Molecule: long non-coding RNA, 1519 nt
Filed under: Brassica rapa (field mustard)
Lineage: Eukaryota; Viridiplantae; Streptophyta; Magnoliopsida; Brassicales; Brassicaceae
Description: long non-coding RNA (BRAP_LNC008060)
Source: RNAcentral